This 1342-nucleotide long non-coding RNA is filed under the name Oryctolagus cuniculus (rabbit). Its description in RNAcentral is "lncRNA (ENSOCUG00000031909.1)". Lineage: Eukaryota; Metazoa; Chordata; Mammalia; Lagomorpha; Leporidae. The record is from RNAcentral.
CAGUCUCAAGGUGAACUUCGCCUGGUUCUCAGGCCACCAGAUGAGAAGCCUGCAUCUUGCUUUCAGACUGAAGGUGGAGCUUCGCCUGGGCAUCAGGACACUAGAUGAGAAGCUUGCACCUGGCUUUCAGUCUGAAGGGGGAGCUUCGGCUGGGUGUCAGGACACCAGAUGAGAAGCCUGCACCUGGCUUUCAGUCUGAAGGUGGAGCUUCUCCUGGAUGUAAGGACACCAGAUGAAAAGCCCGCACCUGGGUUUCAUUUUGAAGGUGGAGCUUCGCAUGGGUGUCAGGACACCAGAUGAGAAGGCUGCCCUUCGCUUCUCAUCCAAAGGUGGAGCUUCUCCUUUGUGUCAGGACACCAGAUGAGAAGCCUGUACCUGGUUUUCAGUCAAGGGGGAGCUUCGCCUGGGUGUCAGGACACCAGAUGAGAAGGCUGCUCCUGGCUUUCAGUGUGAAGGUGGAGCUUCACCUGGGUGUCAGAUCACCAGAUGAGAAGCCUGCACCUGGCUUUCAGUCUGAACCUGGCUUUCAGUCUGAAGGUCUGCACCUGGCUUCACGUCUGGAGGUGCAGCUUUGCUAGGGUGUCAGGACACCAGAUGGGUAGCGUGCACCUGGCUUUCAGUCUGAAGGUGGAGCUUCUUCUGGGCGUCAGAUCACCAGAUGAGAAGCCUGAAUCUGGCUUUCAGUCUGAACCUGGCUUUCAGUCUGAAGGUAUAGCUUCGCCUGGGUGUCAGGACACCAGAUGAGAAGCCUCCACCUAGCUUCAGAGUGCCUGAGCCCGAUCCUAGCUCCAGCUCUGACCCCAGCUUCCUCCUCAUGCCAACCCUUGGAGACACUGUGAUGGCUCAAGUACACUGAGCUACUCGAAGUCAAAUAUUAAGCUCUCAGGACUUCUCCAUGCCUGUGCCCUGCCCAGGCUAUGCCAUUUGUUGUCUCCUCUGAGGACGCAGAGUGAUCAUGGCCCCUAGCCAGACCUUCCUGGGUGGGAGCUGCCGUGAUGGUUGACCAGCCACCUGUCCCUUUCCCUAGGCCCAUCUCCAGAUCAGCCCUGCUACACUGGCUUGGCUGAAGGCCCUGGCAUCAUUAUCUGCAUGUUAUGGCCUACCUAGCCCCGUGUGCCUGUGCCCUGCCCCUCCCCCAACUCAGGCUCCCUGCAGCCCUGAAAGGUGUUCUAUGACCUCACGAUGCUGCCUAUGACCUCAUUGCUCCCUCUGCCUCCCCCACUCGCCAGGUGGAUGAAUAUUACCCACUUUUAAUCUUCACACUGGCCUCAAACGCCACCUUCUCCAGCCGCAAGUCCAUUUGGAACCCACCUCCCUCACCUAGCCACGCAGCUGGCCUAUU